Molecule: unclassified non-coding RNA, 253 nt
Filed under: uncultured Halomonadaceae bacterium
Lineage: Bacteria; Pseudomonadati; Pseudomonadota; Gammaproteobacteria; Oceanospirillales; Halomonadaceae
Description: contains 16S-23S intergenic spacer region
Rfam family: Bacterial small subunit ribosomal RNA
Source: RNAcentral
AACGUAGGGGGCGAGCGUUAUCCGGAAUUACUGGGCGUAAAGGGCGUCUAGGCGGCCUCUCAAGUCUUGUGUGAAAUCUCCCGGCUCAACUGGGAGGGUGCAUGAGAAACUGAAAGGCUAGAGUGCAGGAGAGGAAGGUAGAAUUCCCGGUGUAGCGGUGAAAUGCGUAGAGAUCGGGAGGAAUACCAGUGGCGAAGGCGGCCUUCUGGACUGACACUGACGCUGAGGUGCGAAAGCGUGGGUAGCAAACAGG